CAUCAUCUCUGGCUCUUGUCUCCUUAUGAAUGGAGCUUUUCACAAGCUCCCUCAAGUCACUCGGCAUCAUUAAACCACCCCACCUCGGUGAGCCAUUGGUCGGUUCUCUUACUGAAUUAUCACCAUUACUCGUUUGAAUCAAACCAGGCUGUUCAAACUGAGAAGCCGUGGUGCUAACAUCUGCAGAUGAGAAGCUAGAGGAGCAUGGUGAAGAAGAAAAUGACAACCUCGAGGACGAUUCAGAGGAGACUCCCUUCUGCUUCUCCUUUGCAGCCUUCUUCUUCUUACUCUUCUCCUGAAAUUCCAGUAAAAUUUCACUUUUUAAAAAUCCAUAUCGUCCAUGGUAAUUAAUAUAUCACUCUAGUCUACUGGUUACUGAUUCUUACCGUUUCCUUCUUAUCUGUGGAAAUGUUGAUAUCACCGACAUUGUCACUUGUUUUGCCUGCAAAAGAAUUCCCCACCAAAAUUAACUUUUAACCACCAAUACAUAACAUACUUCUGUAAGGUAUACACCUAUAUAGAAGUCUAAAGACAAGACAUGUUCUAUAGCAUUGGUUUCUUUCAUCUUUGUGGUCCUGAACCUUGGAUUUAGGAUCUUAGUCAGGAACUAAAAUACAAAAGUAAUGUAUUCUGUUAAAGAACUUUUCCUUUGUAACGUUUAAGUUUUCCACUUUAAGGUUUUAAUGGAGAGGACAUUGCAAGCAAAGACUAAAGAGAGAGGAGAGAGAGAAAGAGAAUGUUACCUGAAGGCAGAGACUUGAGCUCAUCUCCGGUGACGGCAACACGUCUCGGUGGAUAAUGUUGGCGGUAAAACACCUGAAAGAUCCCAUUCAUACAUCCAAUCUGUUUAUUCAGAUUUGGAUUUUCAUCUGACAAGUUAUACAAAAGCUUAGCCGACAUCUUUUUCUUCUUUGUCUUCUCUACUCUCGUCUCGGAAAGUGUUUUGACUCUAAAAAAAAAGAACUUGGAAACUUUUAAGAUUCUCUCAUUAUGGAAUUCAUGAAAAUCUCAAGUUUUCUGUACUUUUCCUCUGUUUUUGUCUCUCAGAGGAAGUAGAAGACGGAGAAGAAGAAGAAGAGACAGGAGGAGGACAAAGAAGAACCCAGCAUUAAGACAAAGGUAAAGCUACUUGUGAAGUUAUGACCAGACAAGGAAUUAGGUUUCUCUGUAUCUGUUAUCUUGGAGGGUUCCUUGAAGAAGAAAGAAGAGAAGAAGAAAAAGAAAAGAAAGAUAAAAAAGAAGUUUGUUUGUGGUCUUUGAGAGAAGUGAGUCCUGUAAAAAGGCAAAGAGCUCUCUGUCUACAAUUAUAUGUAGAAGCUUUUCAAAAGCAUAUAUAAACAUCGGUUAUGUAAUAAUGCUCAAUGUACGUAGGCACACACAUACACAUGCGUGUACACAUGUAUUCGUGUGUAUCCGUAUAGAUUUAUACAUGUAAGAGAAUGUAAAUGAUUUUAUUUUAUUUUUUAAAAUAAAAAUUUAUGACAAAGC
Molecule: long non-coding RNA, 1488 nt
Filed under: Capsella grandiflora
Lineage: Eukaryota; Viridiplantae; Streptophyta; Magnoliopsida; Brassicales; Brassicaceae
Description: long non-coding RNA (CGRA_LNC001527)
Source: RNAcentral